AAGUAGGGGAUCGCAAGACCUUGCGCUUUUGGAGCGGCCGAUGUCUGAUUAGCUAGUUGGUGAGGUAAAGGCUUACCAAGGCGUCGAUCAGUAGCUGGUCUGAGAGGACGACCAGCCACACUGGGACUGAGACACGGCCCAGACUCCUACGGGAGGCAGCAGUGGGGAAUUUUGGACAAUGGGGGAAACCCUGAUCCAGCCAUGCCGCGUGAGUGAAGAAGGCCUUCGGUUGUAAAGCUCUUUCAGCCGGAACGAAAAGGUCACGGCUAAUACCUGUGAUCACU
Molecule: ribosomal RNA, 284 nt
Filed under: uncultured beta proteobacterium
Lineage: Bacteria; Pseudomonadati; Pseudomonadota; Betaproteobacteria
Description: partial 16S ribosomal RNA
Rfam family: Bacterial small subunit ribosomal RNA
Source: RNAcentral